CAGGGAAUCUUGCACAAUGGACGAAAGUCUGAUGCAGCGACACCGCGUGAGGGAAGAAGGCCUUCGGGUUGUAAACCUCUUUUAUCAGGGAAGAGUAAGGACUGUACCUGACGAAUAAGGCUCGGCUAACUACGUGCCAGCAGCCGCGGUAAUACGUAGGAGUCAAACGUUGUCCGGAUUUACUGGGCGUAAAGAGCGCGUAGGCGGUUUGUUAAGUCUCAUGUGAAAUCUCCCGGCUCAACUGGGAGGGGUCAUGGGAUACUGGCAGGCUUGAGGGUAGCAGAGGAAAGCGGAAUUCCCGGAGUAGUGGUGAAAUGCGUAGAUACCGGGAGGAACACCAGAGGCGAAGGCGGCUUUCUGGGCUAUUCCUGACGCUGAGGCGCGAAAGCGUGGGGAGCGAACCGG
This 405-nucleotide ribosomal RNA is filed under the name uncultured bacterium. Its description in RNAcentral is "bacterial SSU rRNA". It matches the Rfam family "Bacterial small subunit ribosomal RNA", at positions 355 to 776 of the family's 1533-position model. The record is from RNAcentral.